CCAUGUGAUAUUCCAUAAAUGUUUCCAGCUCUGAAAGACAGGAAAUGAAAACCAUCACGGAAAAGGAAAGCUGCAGAAUAAAAAUUCCCAGUGCAGAUAGCAUUACAGCGACAGUGCACGAGGACGAAGGCUGGGCCGCCUGCGCAGACCUGCAGGUCAUUAGUGGGACUGCGAACGCGGGCGAGGCGCCCCGCACGCUCGGUGCAGCUUCUGUGGGAGAAAAUACGGCGGCAGCGGUCACACCCACGGCGCUAGCGGGACAACUCCGCUUUCAAUUAGGGACGGAGCUGAGAAAGUAGUCUUUUCUUCCCGCACGCCUCCCGAGGUCAGGUUACGACCUCUCCACUGUGUUCAAUCGCGGUGGCAUCCAUAUGCAUGAGAGCUAAUUAAGUCUGAAAGGCCCGGCUGGCUGGGCCCACCCCGCCGCGCAGGGGUGAGUGGGGAGUGGGCGCUGAGCCUGGCAGCCGGUCUAUGCAGCUGCUCCGUCGGCCGCCGGAGCGCGCACAAGUGCGCGGGGAGCGCGGUGUCUCAGCGGCCAGCACCAGCGGGGCGAGGGGAAUUAGCCGCGUCAUUUCUGGCCAGCCUAGCAACACGUGUGUGCUGAUCCUGAUGGCUCCUGCCUGGCCACAGCGUCCCAGGGCCGCGUGCAGGAAAGGGACGUGCAUUCUAAAGGAGACUUAAGGUUUGGGGCUGUACUUGGUCUGGCAGCAGGGAGUUGAGACCAGGAUUAGGGACCCAGCGCAGGCUGCCCGUGGGAGCUGGGAAAAUGAAAAAAUAUAUAUGUUAUCUUUCCGAAACCACCAGCUGUCGUCUCCACUGCACUUGGCCUGACGGGUCCCCACAAGAAAGGAAGCACCCGUCUAUUAGGGGAACCGUCAUCGACCCCUGCGCAGAGCUGCUCUGGAAAUGACUGCUGUGAUAGACAGCGUCUCGGGCACGUUCAGACGUGGGUGUUUCACAGACACCUCAACCACCCAGCGCACGCACUCAAAUUAUGCUUCAUUUCAAAAGUCCUAGAUCUUUGCUGCACUAUCUUCAUCCAUUCUUUUCACGGUUACAAAGAAAAAUAGGUGUGUAUUGUCAAAUAUCU
Molecule: long non-coding RNA, 1090 nt
Organism: Phyllostomus discolor (pale spear-nosed bat)
Lineage: Eukaryota; Metazoa; Chordata; Mammalia; Chiroptera; Phyllostomidae
Exons: 2
Source: RefSeq, a predicted model, not a curated record